This 2183-nucleotide ribosomal RNA is filed under the name human gut metagenome. Its description in RNAcentral is "bacterial LSU rRNA". It matches the Rfam family "Bacterial large subunit ribosomal RNA", at positions 317 to 2481 of the family's 2925-position model. The record is from RNAcentral.
AGGUCCGGCUGGGGAGCGGAACGGCAUGGGAGGGCCGGCCGCAGCGGGUGACAGCCCCGUACGCGAACCCAGACCGGACGGCGCGACGCGGUCCCUGAGUAGGGCCGGGCACGUGAAACCCGGUCCGAACCUGGGUGGACCACCAUCCAAGCCUGAGUACUACCCUGUGACCGAUAGCGCACCAGUACCGUGAGGGAAAGGUGAAAAGCACCCCGGGAGGGGAGUGAAACAGUACCUGAAACCGUGCGCCCACGAGCAGUCGGAGCAACUUUCAGUUGUGACGGCGUGCCUUUUGUAGAAUGAGCCAGCGAGUCGCUGGCGCGGGGCGAGGUUAACCGAAAGGGAGCCGGAGCGAAAGCGAGCCUUAACAGGGCGACUUGAGUCCCGCGCCGCGGACGCGAAGCCGGGUGAGCUAUCCGUGGGCAGGCUGAAGCGGGGGUAAGACCCCGUGGAGGGCCGAACGCACGUCGGUUGAAAACGGCGGCGAUGACCUGCGGAUAGGGGUGAAAGGCCAAUCAAACCCGGAGAUAUCUCGUUCUCCCCGAAAUAGCUUUAGGGCUAGCGUCGCGCGUUCACCGCCGGAGGUAGAGCACCGGAUGGACGAGGGGGCUUCGCCGCCUACCGAAUCCAACCGAACUCCGAAUGCCGGCGGCCCAGAGCGCGGCAGUCAGAGCAUGUGGGCUAAGCUGUGUGCUCGAGAGGGAAACAGCCCGGACCGCCCGCUAAGGUCCCCAAGUUCCAGCCGAGUGGCAAAGGAUGUGCGUCCGCCCAGACAACCAGGAUGUUGGCUUAGAAGCAGCCAUCCAUUCAAAGAGUGCGUAACAGCUCACUGGUCGAGUGGACAUGCGCCGACAAUACACGGGGCUAAGCUGGACACCGAAGCGGCGGGAUUUUAAUUCAUUAGAAUCGGUAGGGGAGCUUCCCAUGGGCGGAGAAGCCGGAGGGCGACCGACGGUGGAGCGCAUGGGAGUGAGAAUGCUGGCAUGAGUAGCGAGAGACGAGAGAGUAACUCGUCCGCCGUGAACCCGAGGUUUCCUGGGCAAGGCUAAUCCUCCCAGGGUCAGUCGGGGGCUAAGGCGAGGCCGGUAGGCGUAGCCGACGCGCAGCAGGCAGACAUUCCUGCACCGCGCACGCGGCGCUACGACCGACGGGGCGACGGAUGGGGGUGGCUCGGCGGGGUUCUGGACGUCCCCGUGAUGGAGCGCGGCCCGCGGACCAGGGAAAUCCGGUCCGCAGAAGGGCGAGGCUCCGGACGAAGCGACUGAGCGAAGCGAGUGAGCCCGAGGUCCCUAGAAAAACCCCUAGGCAGGCGCGUGCGCGCCCGUACCGCAAACCGACACAGGUGGGUGGGUAGAACAUACCGAGGCGAUCGGGUCAACCAUGGUCAAGGAACUCGGCACAAUGGCCCCGUAACUUCGGGAGAAGGGGUGCCCGCGCGUACGUGAACCGGCUUGCCCGGGGAGCGGAGGCGGGCCGCAGUGGAGAGGCCCAAGCGACUGUUUACCAAAAACACAGGACUCUGCAGAAGCCGCAAGGCGACGUAUAGGGUCUGACGCCUGCCCGGUGCCGGAAGGUCACGCGGAGGAGUUAGCCGUUAAGGCGAAGCCCCGAAGCCAAGCCCCGGUAAACGGCGGCCGUAACUAUAACGGUCCUAAGGUAGCGAAAUUCCUUGUCGGGUAAGUUCCGACCUGCACGAAAGGCGCAACGACUUGGGCGCUGUCUCGACCAUGGACCCGGUGAAAUUGCACUGGUCGUGAAGAUGCGACUUACCCGCGGAAGGACGGAAAGACCCCGUGAACCUUCACUGCAGCUUGGCAUUGGCCGCUGGUCCCGCGUGUAGAGGAUAGGCAGGAGGCUAAGAUCCGGAGGCGCCAGCCCCCGGGGAGCCGCCCUUGGAAUACUGCCCUCGCGCGACCGGCGUCCUAACCCGAGGCCGUCAACCGGCUCGGGGACCGUGCCAGGCGGGCAGUUUGACUGGGGCGGUCGCCUCCUAAAGGGUAACGGAGGCGCGCGAAGGUCCGCUCGGGACGGUCGGCAACCGUCCUUUUGAAUGCAAGAGUACAAGCGGGCUUGACUGCGAGGCCCACAAGCCGAGCAGGUGCGAAAGCAGGCUCUAGUGAUCCGGCGGCCCCGAGUGGGUGGGCCGUCGCUCAACGGAUAAAAGGUACUCCGGGGAUAACAGG